GUGUCAGCCGCCGCGGUAAGACAGAGGGUGCAAACGUUGUUCGGAAUUACUGGGCGUAAAGCGCGUGUAGGCGGCUCGAAAAGUCGGAUGUGAAAGCCCUGGGCUCAACCUAGGAAGUGCAUUCGAAACUCUCGAGCUUGAGUUCUGGAGAGGAAGGCGGAAUUCCAGGUGUAGCGGUGAAAUGCGUAGAUAUCUGGAGGAACACCGGUGGCGAAGGCGGCGUCCUGGACCAACACUGACACUGAUGAGCGAAAGCCAGGGGAGCAAACGGGAUUAGAUACCCCGGUAGUCC
RNAcentral lists this ribosomal RNA (292 nucleotides) under uncultured bacterium. Its description in RNAcentral is "partial 16S ribosomal RNA". It matches the Rfam family "Bacterial small subunit ribosomal RNA", at positions 505 to 796 of the family's 1533-position model. The record is from RNAcentral.